This 211-nucleotide ribosomal RNA is filed under the name uncultured bacterium. Its description in RNAcentral is "partial 16S ribosomal RNA". It matches the Rfam family "Bacterial small subunit ribosomal RNA", at positions 1291 to 1500 of the family's 1533-position model. The record is from RNAcentral.
GUUCGGAUUGAAGGCUGAAAUUCGCCUUCAUGAAGCUGGAAUUGCUAGUAAUGGCAGGUCAGCAUACUGCCGUGAAUACGUUCCCGGGCCUUGUACACACCGCCCGUCACACCAUGGGAGUCGGAAAUGCCCGAAGUCUGUGACCCAACCAUUAAGGAGGGAGCAGCCGAAGGCAGGUCGGAUGACUGGGGUGAAGUCGUAACAAGGUACC